RNAcentral lists this ribosomal RNA (1102 nucleotides) under Klebsiella pneumoniae. RNAcentral describes it as "bacterial SSU rRNA". It matches the Rfam family "Bacterial small subunit ribosomal RNA", at positions 31 to 1125 of the family's 1533-position model. Lineage: Bacteria; Pseudomonadati; Pseudomonadota; Gammaproteobacteria; Enterobacterales; Enterobacteriaceae. The record is from RNAcentral.
GCAUGCGGGCGGCAGGCUACCAUGCAGUCGAGCGGUAGCACAGAGAGCUUGCUCUCGGGUGACGAGCGGCGGACGGGUGAGUAAUGUCUGGGAAACUGCCUGAUGGAGGGGGAUAACUACUGGAAACGGUAGCUAAUACCGCAUAACGUCGCAAGACCAAAGUGGGGGACCUUCGGGCCUCAUGCCAUCAGAUGUGCCCAGAUGGGAUUAGCUGGUAGGUGGGGUAACGGCUCACCUAGGCGACGAUCCCUAGCUGGUCUGAGAGGAUGACCAGCCACACUGGAACUGAGACACGGUCCAGACUCCUACGGGAGGCAGCAGUGGGGAAUAUUGCACAAUGGGCGCAAGCCUGAUGCAGCCAUGCCGCGUGUGUGAAGAAGGCCUUCGGGUUGUAAAGCACUUUCAGCGGGGAGGAAGGCGGUGAGGUUAAUAACCUCAUCGAUUGACGUUACCCGCAGAAGAAGCACCGGCUAACUCCGUGCCAGCAGCCGCGGUAAUACGGAGGGUGCAAGCGUUAAUCGGAAUUACUGGGCGUAAAGCGCACGCAGGCGGUCUGUCAAGUCGGAUGUGAAAUCCCCGGGCUCAACCUGGGAACUGCAUUCGAAACUGGCAGGCUAGAGUCUUGUAGAGGGGGGGUAGAAUUCCAGGGUGUAGCGGUGAAAUGCGUAGAGAUCUGGAGGGAAUACCGGUGGCGAAGGCGGCCCCCUGGACAAAGACUGACGCUCAGGUGCGAAAGCGUGGGGAGCAAACAGGAUUAGAUACCCUGGUAGUCCACGCUGUAAACGAUGUCGAUUUGGAGGUGUGCCCUUGGGGCGUGGCUUCCCGGAGGCUAACGCGUUAAAUCGACCGCCUGGGGGAGUACGGCCGCCAAGGUUAAACCUCCAAAUGGUAUGACCGGGGGCCCGCACAAGCGUGAAGCAUGGGGUUUAUUCGAUUGCAACGCCGAGAACCUUACCUGGUCUGACAUCCACGAACUUACAGAGAAUGCAUUGGUGCCUCGGGAACUGGAAGACAAGGGCUGGCAAUGCUGUCCUCAGCUCUGGUUGGUAAUGUGGUAAAGUCCCCGACACGAGGGCAACCCUAUAUCUUUGUUGCCCACGGU